CGGAGUGUGUACGUAUGUUUUUUGUCCUUCACGAGAUUUCGAUAUUAUUAUCUAUUUCGUAUUUGUUUUGGCAAUUUGUUUGGUAUUUUUUUUUUUUUAUAUAGGUACUUAUAGGUAAGUAUAUAAUGUGAUUCUAGUAGUUGGCUCGAAAUUUACACGUCAUCCGAUUGCGGCUGUUAGUCGAGUAAUCGUCAAUAAUUAUUAUGUCUGCAAUAAAAAAUUAUUAUCACGAUAUAGCGUACAUGCUACACUGGAUUUUUACAAUUCGUAUAGAUUCUAGGGCGUCGGGCGCGGGUUACGUCGUCGCUCGAAGAAUGUGUCGAUAUCGUUAACAACGUUUUAUCUUCG
Cinara cedri is the source of this 348-nucleotide non-coding RNA. The record is from the annotation of a GenBank genome assembly. Lineage: Eukaryota; Metazoa; Arthropoda; Insecta; Hemiptera; Aphididae.